Molecule: long non-coding RNA, 311 nt
Filed under: Panax ginseng (ginseng)
Lineage: Eukaryota; Viridiplantae; Streptophyta; Magnoliopsida; Apiales; Araliaceae
Description: long non-coding RNA (PGIN_LNC010326)
Source: RNAcentral
AAUGAUCGACACUUUAAACUUCGUCAGGCCCUUCGUGGUAGGCGAAUGUUAUCUUGUAGUUCUGUUAGGCCUUUCGGGGUAAACAAACUCCCAAUAAAGCAGAUGUCUCGCACUUCGGUAACUUGAUAAGUAUCUCUUUACUUUAUUACCUGAGUCUUUUCUAAGUGUUGAGUUCGGAAUGCCUCGUUCUUUAAACUCAUUUCAUCUGUUAUAUGACAUGCUUAAUCAUUUGAAGUUAAAUCCUCGAAGGGUUUUUUGUACACUUGUCCAUAUAAAUUCAUAUUGAAGUAUUGACAUAAAAUAAAAGUGCA